This 468-nucleotide ribosomal RNA is filed under the name uncultured bacterium. RNAcentral describes it as "partial 16S ribosomal RNA". It matches the Rfam family "Bacterial small subunit ribosomal RNA", at positions 28 to 507 of the family's 1533-position model. The record is from RNAcentral.
GACGAACGCUGGCGGCGUGCUUAACACAUGCAAGUCGAACGGAAAGGCCCUGCUUUUGUGGGGUGCUCGAGUGGCGAACGGGUGAGUAACACGUGAGUAACCUGCCCUUGUCUUUGGGAUAACUUCAGGAAACUGGGGCUCAUACCCGAUAGGAUCUCCUGCUGCAUGGUGGUGGUUGGAAAGUUUCGGCGGUUGGGGCUGGACUCGCGGCUUAUCAGCUUGUUGGUGGGGUAGUGGCUUACCAAGGCUUUGACGGGUAGCCGGCCUGAGAGGGUGAACGGCCACAAUGGGACUAAGAUACGGCCCAGAAGCCUACGGGAGGCAGCAGUGGGGAAUAUUGCACAAUGGGCGGAAGCCUGAGGCAGCAACGCUGCGUGCGGGAUGACGGCCUUCGGGUUGUAAACCGCUUUCGCAUGUGACGAAGCGUGAGUGACGGUAAUGAGUAAAGAAGCACCGGCUAACUACGUG